GAUGAAGAACGUAGCGAAAUGCGAUACUUGGUGUGAAUUGCAGAAUCCCGUGAACCAUCGAGUCUUUGAACGCAAGUUGCGCCCGAAGCCAUCAGGUUAAGGGCACGUCUGCCUGGGCGUCACAUAUCGUUGCUCGAUGCCUAUCGCAUUGCGAUAGGACUUAGGGCGAAUGAUGGCUUCCCGUGAGCGUUGUUGCCUCGCGGUUGGUUGAAAAUCGAGUCCUUGGUAGGGUGUGCCAUGAUAGAUGGUGGUCGAGUUAGCACGAGUCCGAUCAUGUGCAUGCUCCCCAAAAUAUGGCCUCUGUGACCCACACGCGUCUUUUGACGCUCAUGACGAGACCUCAGGUCAGGCGGGGCUACCCGCUGAAUUUAAGCAUAUCAAUAAGCGGAGGA
RNAcentral lists this unclassified non-coding RNA (392 nucleotides) under soil metagenome. RNAcentral's name for it is "partial contains 5.8S ribosomal RNA, internal transcribed spacer 2, and large subunit ribosomal RNA". The stretch from base 1 to 122 matches the Rfam family "5.8S ribosomal RNA", at positions 35 to 154 of the family's 154-position model. The record is from RNAcentral.